GGCCCAAAUGUAAAGUAGGGUAGAUUAGAAGGAUCAUCUGACCCUACUAAUCUACUCUACUUCGAGUUUGGGCCC
This is a non-coding RNA of Haemonchus contortus (barber pole worm), 75 nucleotides long. Lineage: Eukaryota; Metazoa; Nematoda; Chromadorea; Rhabditida; Trichostrongylidae. The record is from Rfam.